UACGAAGGGUGCAAGCGUUGCUCGGAAUUAUUGGGCGUAAAGGGCAAGUAGGUGGUCAUAUAAGUCUGUGGUGAAAUCCCCGAGCUCAACUCGGGACGUGCCAUGGAAACUGUAUGACUAGAGUAUCGGAGAGGUUCGUGGAAUUCCCGGUGUAGCGGUGAAAUGCGUAGAGAUCGGGAGGAACACCAGAGGCGAAAGCGACGAACUGGACGAUGACUGACACUCAAUUGCGAAAGCGUGGGUAGCAAACAGG
This 253-nucleotide ribosomal RNA is filed under the name uncultured bacterium. Its description in RNAcentral is "partial 16S ribosomal RNA". It matches the Rfam family "Bacterial small subunit ribosomal RNA", at positions 524 to 776 of the family's 1533-position model. The record is from RNAcentral.